UACGAGGGGGGCAAGCGUUGUUCGGAAUUAUUGGGCGUAAAGGGCGCGUAGGCGGUGCGGUAAGUCACCUGUGAAAACUCUGGGCUCAACUCAGAGCCUGCAGGCGAAACUGCCGUGCUGGAGUGUGGGAGAGGUGCGUGGAAUUCCCGGUGUAGCGGUGAAAUGCGUAGAUAUCAGGAGGAACACCAAUAGCGAAGGCAGCUCGCUGGGACGGUACUGACGCUAAGGCGCGAAAGCGUGGGGAGCGAACAGG
This 253-nucleotide ribosomal RNA is filed under the name uncultured bacterium. Its description in RNAcentral is "partial 16S ribosomal RNA". It matches the Rfam family "Bacterial small subunit ribosomal RNA", at positions 524 to 776 of the family's 1533-position model. The record is from RNAcentral.